GUUCUUGUAGUUGAACCACAACGGUGGCUUUUCAUGUCACUGGUCUAGGUUAAACCCCUGGCAAGAACU
Molecule: transfer RNA, 69 nt
Filed under: Myctophum nitidulum (pearly lanternfish)
Lineage: Eukaryota; Metazoa; Chordata; Actinopteri; Myctophiformes; Myctophidae
Description: tRNA-Glu
Rfam family: tRNA
About the family: Transfer RNA (tRNA) molecules are approximately 80 nucleotides in length. Their secondary structure includes four short double-helical elements and three loops (D, anti-codon, and T loops).
Source: RNAcentral